RNAcentral lists this unclassified non-coding RNA (666 nucleotides) under Duncanopsammia axifuga. Its description in RNAcentral is "sequence contains ITS1, 5.8S rRNA gene and ITS2". The stretch from base 321 to 474 matches the Rfam family "5.8S ribosomal RNA". The record is from RNAcentral. Lineage: Eukaryota; Metazoa; Cnidaria; Anthozoa; Scleractinia; Dendrophylliidae.
AGAGCGCCGGAUGCCGGGAAGUUGGUCAAACUUGAUCAUUUAGAGGAAGUAAAAGUCGUAACAAGGUUUCCGUAGGUGAACCUGCGGAAGGAUCAUUACCGAUUUCCAAACGUGGUUGUCACGAACCCGUGUGAACCCGUCGCAACCAUCUUUAGGGGUCGGCCCGGGGGCCGUUAAAUGGUCGGGCGUCCGUCGAUUUGGCGUGCGGCCAGCCCCGCCUUUGUCACGUUUGACGCACUUGAACGUACCGAUUUGAAACGUUUCCCUGCCUGCUGCCAGCAGGUUGAAGAGGAAAGAAAAAAAAAAAAAGAGAGAGAGACAACUUUUAACGGUGGAUCUCUUGGCUCACGUAUCGAUGAAGAACGCAGCCAGCUGCGAUAAGUAGUGUGAAUUGCAGAAUUCAGUGAAUCAUCGAAUCUUUGAACGCAAAUGGCGCUCUUGGGUUCUCCCAGGAGCAUGUCUGUCUGAGUGUCGGAUAACAUGGAACGCAGCCCGAGGGCGUGCGGAAUUGGGGCGUCACGGCCCGACCGUGUCCCCCGAAGGAGAGCGUGCUGGAAUCGCUCGGCGACCCACCUCCGUGCGAAGGCUAAAAGGAAGCUAUAUCUUGAAGUCCUUCGCCGAGGUGCGGCUUCGCCGUGGCGGAUCGGCCGAAGGAAAGGUGAGACU